GGCUGUGAGGGCCAUCUGGCUGCGACAUCUGUCGCCCCAGUGAGCGUCAGGGUUGGUUCGGCAGCUCUGGCUGGCCAGGUGGGGCGCCCUUCCUCGCUCGGGGCUCUGUGUCACCCCUCCCUUCCGAAGCUGUGUGCUCUGUGGAAGAGGACCAGGGCCUUUCCUCCGUCAGGGGCGCAGGAGCAGCAGCAGUCCCUGCUAGAACCGCCAAACAAGCUCCAAGAACAGCUCCGAAAGUGUGUUGUGAGGAACAGUAAUGUUCAAGAGAGGGGUUUAAUGGUCAAGUUCUUUUGGAAAGCACUU
This 303-nucleotide small nuclear RNA is filed under the name Chinchilla lanigera (long-tailed chinchilla). RNAcentral's name for it is "7SK RNA (ENSCLAG00000021911.1)". It matches the Rfam family "7SK RNA". From Rfam's summary of the family: 7SK was discovered as an abundant small nuclear RNA in the mid-70s but a possible function has only recently been suggested. Two independent studies have found that 7SK RNA binds the CDK9/cyclin T complex (known as elongation factor P-TEFb). Lineage: Eukaryota; Metazoa; Chordata; Mammalia; Rodentia; Chinchillidae. The record is from Rfam by way of RNAcentral.